Molecule: ribosomal RNA, 497 nt
Filed under: uncultured bacterium
Lineage: Bacteria
Description: partial 16S ribosomal RNA
Rfam family: Bacterial small subunit ribosomal RNA
Source: RNAcentral
GAUGAACGCUGGCGGCGUGCCUAAUACAUGCGAGUCGAGCGAACAGACGAGGAGCUUGCUCCUUUGACGUUAGCGGCGGACGGGUGAGUAACACGUAGGUAACCUACCUAUAAGACUGGGAUAACUUCGGGAAACCGGAGCUAAUACCGGAUAAUAUUUCGAACCGCAUGGUUCGAUAGUGAAAGAUGGCUUUGCUAUCACUUAUAGAUGGACCUGCGCCGUAUUAGCUAGUUGGUAAGGUAACGGCUUACCAAGGCAACGAUACGUAGCCGACCUGAGAGGGUGAUCGGCCACACUGGAACUGAGACACGGUCCAGACUCCUACGGGAGGCAGCAGUAGGGAAUCUUCCGCAAUGGGCGAAAGCCUGACGGAGCAACGCCGCGUGAGUGAUGAAGGUCUUCGGAUCGUAAAACUCUGUUAUUAGGGAAGAACAAACGUGUAAGUAACUGUGCACGUCUUGACGGUACCUAAUCAGAAGGCCACGGCUAACUACGUG